Molecule: ribosomal RNA, 400 nt
Filed under: uncultured bacterium
Lineage: Bacteria
Description: bacterial SSU rRNA
Rfam family: Bacterial small subunit ribosomal RNA
Source: RNAcentral
GGGGAAUAUUGGACAAUGGGCGAAAGCCUGAUCCAGCCAUGCCGCGUGAGUGAUGAAGGCCCUAGGGUUGUAAAGCUCUUUCAGUGGGGAAGAUAAUGACGGUACCCACAGAAGAAGCCCCGGCUAACUUCGUGCCAGCAGCCGCGGUAAUACGAAGGGGGCUAGCGUUGUUCGGAUUUACUGGGCGUAAAGCGCACGUAGGCGGAUUGUUAAGUCAGAGGUGAAAUCCCGGGGCUCAACCCCGGAACUGCCUUUGAUACUGGCAAUCUCGAGUCCGGAAGAGGUGAGUGGAAUUCCGAGUGUAGAGGUGAAAUUCGUAGAUAUUCGGAGGAACACCAGUGGCGAAGGCGGCUCACUGGUCCGGUACUGACGCUGAGGUGCGAAAGCGUGGGGAGCAAAC